Molecule: long non-coding RNA, 252 nt
Filed under: Gossypium barbadense (sea-island cotton)
Lineage: Eukaryota; Viridiplantae; Streptophyta; Magnoliopsida; Malvales; Malvaceae
Description: long non-coding RNA (GBAR_LNC016928)
Source: RNAcentral
UUAAUUACAACAAGAUUUACAAAAAUAGGAACUUGAGAGAAAGGAGCCUGGUGUCGAGCCUCGGCAUCCAAUAAGGCUGUUGUAAUUCCUUUUAAAUUUAAAGGCACCUGGCUGGUGGUGAUAAUAGACGCAAGGUGAGCGAACUUAGGUGAAAGGCCGUUAAUAAUCGUGUACUUAGCUAGCCUAUAUAAAGGAUUCUUCAUUGUUCAUUAGGGACACAAUUGUUGUAAUUAAUAAAGUUUUCAAUUUUAG